GUGAUGCAUGGCUGUCGUCAGCUCGUGUCGUGAGACGUCCACUUAAGUGUGGUAACGAGCGCAACCCUUGUCGUAUGUUACACGUAUCAUACGAGACUGCCUCUGCUUUGCAGGGGAGGAAGGAGAGGACGACGUCAAGUCAGCAUGUCCCUUACAUCUGGGGCUACACACAUCCUACAAUGGAGCCGACAACAGGUAGCGACGGGGCAACCCCAAGCCAAUCCUCCAAACGGCCCCUCAGUUCGGAUUGCGGGCUGCAAUUCGCUCCUUGUACAACGUAAAUAUGCGCCUUCCGCGCAUACACACCAGCUGGUGAAAAUCCAGCCAAAUUAAGCAUUUUGAAGCAAAAUCGCAGGCCUCUCCGGGUAACUGGCAGGCUGAAGGGCGAAAGUAGCAGUUUUCAGCUUGAAACUAUAACGGCCUUUUCUAGUAACGACCCACCGUACAAAUGGGGAAGUUGCUUACCGUCUGCACUAAGAAAGACAGCUAGACUAGGUAAUGGGUUCGAAGAUGAAAAUAAAUGGUGCGUAUGUGUACGAAGGGAGAUCCUUAAUAGUUCUCAGUCGUCCUACACGUAGUGUAAGAAUGAUUAAGUAUGAUCGAAGUGAUGAAAUCAAAUAACUAUAAGGAAGUCUGCAGAUGCCAUAGUAUUUCCGCCUCGGCGGAGAGAAGGGCUAACUUGGUAUGAAACUUCCUGGAGAUUAUAUUGCAGGAUUUAUUGAUGGCGAAGGUUGUUUUACCAUCGUCAUCUCCAAACACUCGACUAAAAAGUUGAGACUUGAUGCACGGCUACAUUUUCAAAUUGAGCUUCGCAUUGAUGAUUUGGAAAUGCUGCAAUCAAUCCAAGAAACACUUGGCUGUGGAAAAAUCUAUACCCUCAAUUAUGAGAAGUAUGGAUGACACCCACAUGCAAAGCUAAAAGUUUCUUCAAUCCAGGAAAUUACUGAAAAAUUAAUCCCAUUUCUUUCGCAGUAUCCAUUGCGAGCCAAAAAGAGACAUUCAUAUCGUUUGUUUCUUGAGGCUAUCGAGGUUUUCCGUAAAAAAGAGCAUCUCACGCAUGCUGGAAUAGAUAAGUUGCGAAACAUAAGAAGUGAGAUGAACAUUUUCAGUAAACGAACCGAGCGUCGGCUAGGGUACGGGAAAACCGUGUGCCCAGUCGGGAGAGAAGCAUGAAGCAGCAAUGCUCAAGACUAUCUCAGAACACUGCCCGUCAAGCCAGCAAAGUCAGCAACGCCCGAAGCGGGAGACCGAAACUCGCAAGAGAUCGGCCCCUCUACGGCGAGGUUGGCGAUGAGGACUAAGUCGUAACAAGGUAUCCGUACUGGAAGGUGCGGAUGGAUCACCUCCUUUCUAAGGAGU
This 1359-nucleotide ribosomal RNA is filed under the name Candidatus Pacebacteria bacterium CG10_big_fil_rev_8_21_14_0_10_44_54. The record is from RNAcentral. Lineage: Bacteria; Bacillati; Minisyncoccota.